RNAcentral lists this ribosomal RNA (452 nucleotides) under uncultured bacterium. Its description in RNAcentral is "partial 16S ribosomal RNA". It matches the Rfam family "Bacterial small subunit ribosomal RNA", at positions 28 to 523 of the family's 1533-position model. The record is from RNAcentral.
GAUGAACGCUGGCGGCGUGCCUAAUACAUGCAAGUCGAGCGGUAACACUUCGGGUGACGAGCGGCGGACGGCAGAGUAACGCGGAGGAAUGUACCCCAACUGAGGGAUAACUGCCCGAAAGGGUAGCUAAUACCGCAUGUGAUCUUCGGAUUAAAGCUUUAGCGGUUUGGGAACGGCCUGCGUAUGAUUAGCUUGUUGGUGAGGUAAUGGCUCACCAAGGCGACGAUCAUUAGCUGGUCUGAGAGGAUGAUCAGCCUGACUGGGACUGAGACACGGCCCAGACUCCUACGGGAGGCAGCAGUAGGGAAUUUUCCACAAUGGGCGAAAGCCUGAUGGAGCAACGCCGCGUGCAGGAUGAAUGCCUUCGGGUUGUAAACUGCUUUUGUUUGUGACGAUUAUGACGGUAACAAGCGAAUAAGGGUCUGCUAACUACGUGCCAGCAGCCGCCGUAA